This is a small nucleolar RNA of Malania oleifera, 106 nucleotides long. The record is from RefSeq and is a predicted model, not a curated record. NCBI's taxonomy places the organism in Eukaryota, Viridiplantae, Streptophyta, Magnoliopsida, Santalales, Ximeniaceae.
ACUUGGUGAUGUGGGCAUUUACGGAGAAGGUCCCUGAAGCACUCCCGAGUCUAAAAUAAGAGUUCCCCAUCCGUCUGUGAGAAACUUGUGAUAGCUCUCCAAAGCU